Molecule: non-coding RNA, 29 nt
Filed under: Rattus norvegicus (Norway rat)
Lineage: Eukaryota; Metazoa; Chordata; Mammalia; Rodentia; Muridae
Source: RNAcentral
UAAAAAUAAAAUUUCAAUGCUCACCCUCA